Molecule: long non-coding RNA, 802 nt
Organism: Alnus glutinosa
Lineage: Eukaryota; Viridiplantae; Streptophyta; Magnoliopsida; Fagales; Betulaceae
Exons: 3
Source: RefSeq, a predicted model, not a curated record
CGACACACGGACGCAGGCCCCCCCCCCCUUCUCUCUCUCCUUCUUCUAUUUUCUUUCUUUCUUCUUUCCUCUUCUUUGUUCUUCAUUUCCCCUCCACCCGAGAGACACCAAACGGAGAGUGAGAUACUAAGACAGAGAGAGUGAGAUUGGAGAUUAGAGAGAUCCGGUGGACCCACGAGCCAAACCCGACGAACCAAGAGACCCUGUGAACGCCAGAGGCCCGAUCCUCCAUGGAUCGUCGCUGGCGAGCCAGGGGUGCGUUUUUCAGACGGAACCCACGAGCUUGGACCCAAGGACCCGAGGAGGAGAACCGAUGGUGACCCGAUCCAUGAAGACAUGAUGAACCCGAAACCCGACGGCUUGAAGGCCGAUUUCCGGCGAUUCCAUGGUAGAUUUCCGGUGACUUUUCCGGUGCCAUUCCUUUGUUUCAAACAGAAAUCCGUUAGGAUCGUGUCAUAAUUGGAGACUUCAAUGGGUUCUUCAAUGUAGAGUUGGAGUCGGGAGUCCAAUGCAGCCAGAUGAUGUCCCUUUGGCUGCAGGUACUCGGGUCGUAUUUGAUGGGGUUGUAGACGUGCAUUUGGGAUAUUAUGACCGGAGCUCGCCUCGACGGUCGUAAAUGCGGGACCAUGGGCGUCCUCAGUUUUAUAGGUUUUGUUAUGGCUUGUGACGCAUGUGUCACUCGUUAUUGUAUAAAGCCAUUUUUGUUAUGUAUUUAUAUUGAGGAAAGAUUUAAACACAUAGAUGUUAAAUGUCUCUUCUUGUUAUUAAUUUAUGAUAGAUGUUUAAGAUGUGAUUUCCGCUA